This 1188-nucleotide ribosomal RNA is filed under the name Triticum aestivum (bread wheat). RNAcentral's name for it is "partial small subunit ribosomal RNA". Lineage: Eukaryota; Viridiplantae; Streptophyta; Magnoliopsida; Poales; Poaceae. The record is from RNAcentral.
AUGGCUGCGACGACGACGGCGGCGGCGGCGGCUGCUGCCCACCUGCUCACCUCCCCACCUGUCACGUCUCCACGGCCCGCACCUCGCCGUCACCGCCGCACCGAGGCCGCCAGGAGCCUCUCCUGCCGCGCGUCGCUAGGCCCCGACGCCCCCCUACCCGCGCUCUCCGCCGCCCCCAGACCGUCGCCCGCUCGGGGGAGGGCGUACCUGCGGGAGCACUCCUGCCUCCUCUUCCCGCCCCCGCGCGGCGCCCGUCCGCUCGCCGUCGUCAAGUUCCUCGGCGGCGCCUUCAUCGGCGCCGCUCCCGAGGCCACCUACGGCUACCUGCUGGAGCUCCUGGCGCAGGAGGGAUUCCUCGUGGUGUGCGUUCCGUACAACGUCACCUUCGACCACGCGGCCGCCGCGCGGGAGGUCUUCCAGAGGUUCCACGGCUGCUACGACGCGCUCCGAGCGUCGGGCCUGCCGGAGGCCGGGCUGAGCGCUCUGGACAUCGCGGGGCUCCCUCUCUACUCCGUUGGUCACAGUAAUGGCGCGCUGCUUCAGCUGUUGGUUGGGAGCUACUUCUCAGAAAAGAUACCAAAGGCUAAUGCCAUUGUCUCAUUCAACAAUAGGCCCGCUUCAGAGGCUGUUCCUUACUUUGAGCAGAUAGGCCCCCUCAUUAGUCAACUAACGCCUAUGAUGGAGACAUCACCUGUAUACUCUGUGGCUAGAGAUGCAUCAGGGAAUGCGUGGAAAGCCCUAUUUGAUUUAGCUGGAGGUUUGAUACGGGAGUACGAUCAAGAAGCUAUGGUAUCCGUAAGCAAAUUUGUCGAUCAGUUACCAUCAGUAAUGAAUCAGGUUACAGAAGGUGUAUCUGAAUUCAAGCCAACACCACCUGAGAACCGUGAAUUCUGCAAGAAUUCUUACAGUGUAGCUAAUACAUUAUUGGUGAAAUUCAGCGUUGAUGCUAUUGAUGAUACAGACAUAAUUGAGGACAUCUUGAGACCCCGGGUAGACUCAAUUGGUGGACAAAUAAAGAAGGUCGUACUGUCAGGAACACAUCUAACUCCGUGUAUACAGGAUGUUAAAUGGCAAGUUGGUUCAGAAUACACUCCAGCGGAUGCUCUGGCGCAGGGCUUAAAAUCAUUGGCUCUCAAUGAGACUAGGGUCCUCUCAAGAACUAUCGCUGACUACUUCAGAUCCCUUUAG